Non-coding RNA from Schizosaccharomyces pombe (fission yeast), 394 nucleotides. The record is from the annotation of a GenBank genome assembly. NCBI's taxonomy places the organism in Eukaryota, Fungi, Ascomycota, Schizosaccharomycetes, Schizosaccharomycetales, Schizosaccharomycetaceae.
AUAAAAGGCCUAUAGAGGGUAAUUCUGCUCGAAAUCUUGAACUUGCAAUUCUCAUCACCAUGUCGAAGAUAGGUACAAAUUAAGUUAUUAAAGUUGGUUUAAGCGCACUGAUAGAAAUUUACCUAAAAUUUAGUACUUGGACGAAAUUUAGGAGAAAAAAGCCCAAGAAGAUGAAGAAAGUUGUUUCAUUGUAAUAAUAAACCUGAAAUCUUUUGUCAAUUCUAAUUAAUACCCUUUCAAAAAAGAAGACUGAUCUUUGCAAUCACUAAAACUAUUAAAUUUAUUGAGCAGCUGAAGAAUCAUCUGUCUAUAAUUUGCAACAAGAAGUAACUGAAGGGGAGUUAAAAAAUGAGUAUCAACCAUUAUGGCAUCUGUCGCUUUGCUUCUUCUUCUU